Molecule: long non-coding RNA, 36353 nt
Filed under: Gossypium barbadense (sea-island cotton)
Lineage: Eukaryota; Viridiplantae; Streptophyta; Magnoliopsida; Malvales; Malvaceae
Description: long non-coding RNA (GBAR_LNC002736)
Source: RNAcentral
AGCAUUGCUACAUGGAUGAAUGCACACACACAUUUCCCACUCACCAUCUUUUUUAUUAACAAUAUAAUUACGAUAUCCCAUGAAAUUACUGCAUGAUGAUGGCACAUGCAGCAGUGUCAUAUGGCUUAAGGCUUAAUGCUCGAGCCAGACUGAGUAAACAUGGACUUCGGCCAUUCAGGCAUUUUAACCCACUCAGGGUACUCUGCCUUUCUCAGGUUUCUUCUCCUCUUCUUUUUCAUGCUUUGGGAACUCAUGUUUAUCUUCCUUAUCCUCAUCUUGUUUUUCCUUGCACUCGGGUAUUUUUGGAUAUUCGGCUUUAUGUUUCUCGUGCUCUUUAGGCUUUUCCCAUUUGAAGAAAUUGGAUUUUUCUUUCUCGUACUCUUCGUGAUCUUUCGAUUCGUGUGACUCGUGGCACUCUUCAUCUUUAUGUUCCUUACUCUUAUCUUGCUUUUCCUUGUACUCGGGUAUUUUCGGAUAUUCGACUUCGUGUUUCUCGUGCUCUUUAGGCUUUUCCCAUUUGGGGAACUCGGGUUUUUCUUUCUCGUAUUCUUCGUGCUCCUUCGAUUCGCGUGAUUCAUGGUACUCUUCAUUUUUAUGUUCCUUAUCCUCAUCUUGUUUGUCCUUGUACUCGGGUAUUUUCGGAUAUUCAACUUCGUGUUUCUUGUGCUCUUUAGGCUUUUCCCAUUUGGGGAAAUCGGGUUUUUCUUUAUCGUACUCUUCGUGCUCCUUCGAUUCGCGUGACUCGUGGUACUCUUCAUGAUGUUUGCAGGGUUUUUGUUUUUCCUCCUUGUGCAUUUUAGGCUUUUCAUGUUUUGGGUACUUUUCGUGAUAUUUUGGUUGUUUGUAUUCAGACUCUUUGUGCUUUUCGUAUUUUGAAGCCAAUUGUGACAGCUCUGAUGAGGUUGUUUGUGUCUGGAAUAAAUGUCGAGCCGCUGACGAGACGGUGUGACUACCGAUCAUUAGUGAGACAGUAAUGAGUAAAAGUUGGAAAAGGAAGAAAGGAUGACAAAAGUUAUGAGCCAUGGUUAACCAAAUAGAAAGAAAAGAAUUUUGAGUGUAUUUUUGUGUGGAUUGUUGUCUAUGUGUAGCAAGCCUUUUAUAGGAGAGGAUGAGAGAUGGUUUGGUGGGAUUUGGCUCCACGUUGUUUGUACCAAUUUCUCAUCUACAUAAUUGACUUAUGGUGGGAUUAUGUUAAGAAGGUGCUCAAUCUAUGUCAAAUAUUUUUACGUAAAUAUACAAAAUAUAAUCUUUCAAAUAUAUGAAAAAAAUGUUAUAAAAAUUAAGUGUUUUUCUUUAUUUAGAUAAUAGUUUGUGAGAGCAUUUAAUUCGAGUAAUAUUAGAUUACUUUUCAUAAUAAGAUUACGGGGAUGUAAGAUUAUAAGUGGGAUGUUCCGUAUGUUAUAUUAUCUUAUUUGGUUAAUUUGAUUUGAAUUUUUGAUUUUGGUUAAGAGUACUUAAAAUUACCUAAAAGUACAUUUUUACUAAAUUGUCUUUGUUAUAGAAUUUAUUCUCUUAAUGUUUCUUGGUCUCAAUUUCUAUAAAAUUAUGAUAAAUUCGACUAACCAAACAUCACAUUAAUAUUUUAUUUUUUAGUGUGACCAGCCCAUCUUAUUUUAAUUUCAUUUUAACAUUAUUCUGUGAGCAGUUGAACUAGACAAAGUGCCUUUAUCCAUUAUAGGCAAAAAUUGGCUCAUUGAAGGCAGCUCAAACUUUGAUCACUCUUGGGUAGACCAGCCAACUGCUUGCAAAAAGUAUAAUGUUAUAUACUUUACGUAUAUCCCCACUGUCACAUUCACCAAAGUAUAAUUAUGAUUAAAUUAUUAAUAUUAUAUGUUAAUUAUGAUUAAAUUAUUAAUAUUAUAUGUUAAAACAUAAUAAAAAAAGAUAUGGUCAAUCUUCAUUUCCCUCUUCUCUCCACCGUUUGCAAGAAAAAGAAACAAAAGAAGCCAUUUUUAAGCUCUUAGCAUUCGGCUAACCUCUGUUUUUGAAAUUGAUAAGUGAUUUUAAGCUUGUUUUUUUAUAAUUUUUAUAUUUUUGAAGUCUUAUAAGCUUGAUUUAACUAAUCAUGAAUUGGUGUCAUUUGGUUAGAUUUGAUGCUUAGAUAUGAAAAAGGAUUAAUUUCUAAAGUGAAAAUUUAUAGUUUUGAACUUAAGGAUUAAAGUGUAAAUAUUUCAAAAUUGGUUUGAAAUUUCUGUAAUUAUAGAUGAUAGAGGGUUAUAGAAGUAAGAAAUUGAAAUCAGAUUGAAAAAAUGAAACUUAAAUUUGAAAGAUAUAGCUAUUUCAGGGAAUAAAUUUAAUAAAUUUUAAAACUUUAGGAAACUGAAUUGAACUGAUUUAUAUUUAUAAUAGGAUGAUAUAAGGUGAUUGGAAUUGAUAAAUUGUAAUAAAUUAUUAUAGGUCGCAACUUUAAUAAACCAUAUGAUAAUUGAAGAAAAACGAAAAAUUGUAGAUUAAACCCUGACGUCAUGUCGUUGUGGUUUUGUCAGGUAAGUUUAUAUGGACUUACUAUUGUAAUACCCCAAACUCGGUCUAGAAUUUAUGACCGGAUCUUGAGGGUUACACUGACUACUUAAAGCUAGAUUAUUCGCUUCCCAAAACAUUGCUUGAUCUUGCAUUAGUAAUUUUGUAAAAAAAAAAUCAUUUACAUUUAUUUCCUAGAAAACUUAAUUAUUGUGAAAUAAGUAUUUUUGAAAACAUAUAUUACUUCCCACCAAAUCAAAUUGAAAGUCGUAAUAUUAACUUAUUUACUCUUUUUGAAAAAUAAAUUCACUUAUUCUGAAUUUGCAGCGGUAAAAAUUUUUAAACAUUUCCAUUUUGAAAAAAAAAUCGAACAUCCUUUUCAAAUAAUAGAAAAUUUAUGCAGAUUAUUUAAACUAAUUAUCUAAAAAACUCAACAAAACUCAAAACCAAAAUAAAAUUCCAAAAAUUAGUCCGACGGUCCAAAAGUACGUAAAUUUUAAUUAAUAAUUAUUUAAUAAAUAUUAUGUAAAACCGUGUUUACCUAAAAACCGUUACAGUUACCACCUUUUACUUAACUCAGAAAUCAUAUAUAUAUUGAUUAAUUUGCUUGGAAACAUUUCUUAGUUCGCGGAAGCUUAAGAACAAAUAAAGUUGUAGUUCCAAAAUCCAUAAACAAUAUUUUCAAAUUCUAAACUUAUACCAAACAGCCUGAAACCAAAAAUUUCAUAAUUACUCCCAACUAUAGCAAAUAAAAUAAUAAAAGCAUUAAAAACCUUUAAAACCAGAGUGUAUGUAGCAAUGGUCACCGUCGAGCCCUCCGCAGCACCGAUCCACCUACUGCUGGGGAUUACCUGAUAGACAAAUAAAAAUAAGGGGUGAGUUUUCAAAAACUCAAUGUGUACAUCCCUACAGCAAGCACGCAUGUAAAUGGAUAGCAGUCAAAUAGUCAUAAUCCUGAGUUCUUAACAGAAUCAAUGUAGGUUUUAGCCCACUCAGAAUAGUAUUAGAUACAUUCGGGCCUUCACCCAUACAGACAUACAUGCAUAUCGAUUAGAACAGUAAUGCUCACCAACCCAGCACACCAUUUCCGUCCAACCUAACAGACCAUGUGGGGAUGAAAUCUACCUACCCAGCCCUACACACCAAGUAUGGGGAUAAAAUCAACCCAUCCAACCCUACACACCCAGUGGUACCGUAUACGGAACGUAUCAGAUAUAUACAGCAUAGUUGCCCGAUGACAGGUCAAUAGCCUUUCAGUCUUCCUUCUCUUCAACAACAAACCCAACCUAACCCAAUACAAUGCAAUAUAAAUAAUAUGGCAUGCUUAUGUGCAGACAUCAAAUCAUAACAUUGUCAUCAAAUUAGAACAGAUACACAUGCUUUAAUUAUCAUACUCUUACGUACAUCUUAGUAUCAGAUCAGAGUAUAGGGGUCUAAGUAACACUUACCGACCCUACCAACAGGUUACAGUCGACUUGGGUGACUCGUGCAACCUUGCAGAACAUUCCAAACAACUCGGGCUCACACAUCCAUGUGCCUUGCCCAUGUGGGCUCACAUGCCCGUGUGGCUCACACGGCCCAGAUUGGCCUUACCCGUGUCGAUCACAUGGCCUGGCCCAAGAUCUCACACUCUCGUGUGGUUCAUCCGUGUGGCCCACACGGCCCAAUUGGUCAAGGCCAUGCCUCACACACGGUCUCGCUAGCCUCACAUGCCAGUGUUCGUCAUGCCCAUAUGGCGUGCGCACGGUCUACUUCUUCGACCACACGGUCGUGUCUCGCCACACGGCCUCCACAUGGGCAGUCUACACUCCCAUGUGGCAUCGACAGCAGCAUUUUUGGCUUUCGCCGAAACGCGACUUCAGAUUGAUUGGAGUACACACCUGGUUUUGAUUGAAGCCUAACGCAAUCCUGAGCCCUUUAGAAGCUAUAUUCAACAAUGUCAAAACCCAUUUCAGUCACUUAAACAAUGUUUGAUUGAAACUAAACAAGGUAUUCCGCGCCGAAAUCGGUAAAUUUUGUACCUCGAGCAAAAACCAGCAAAUACUACGCGCUUAACUCGCUAUUCAGGAACGAAGAAUAGCCCCUUGAUCUGUACCUAAACACCCAAACAAAAUUUCCACUUAAUCUCUUAAUCAAAAAGAUGCUUACGAACGACAAGAAGAAACCUACCAAUGAGGAGAAUGUCAAUGAAACGCAGAAGCCCGUUAAUACGAAAUCAAAAUGAAUGAGAGGAAGGCAAGGGAAAUUUCGGCAAAAAGAAAAGAAAUAGAAUGUGGAGAGGAGAACAAUAGUAGAGAAUUUCGACAAAGAGAGAGUUCUUUUGGGGAAACUACUCAGAAAAAUCUGAUAAACCCCACCACUUCAGAGUUUUAGUUCACCUCCAAUUUUAUCACGGCCUUAGUGGCAAAAGUAAUGCCCAAGCUAGGAUUCGAACACAGGACUUCUAGCAUAAACCCUUUCCAAUUAACCCUUUCCAAUUAACCACUAGCUUAUUAACCAAAAGCCAAGCUUUACUUAAACAAAAAAUUUGCCCAAGUUGAGACUUGAACUUGGGACUUCCCUAACACACCCUCAAAGCACUUAAACACAAAAGAAGACAAAUAUUAUGUAAAUUCAUGCAAAAACAUAUUCAGAUAUUUUCCUAUGCUACAAUUUCACAAAAACUGAAAUUACAAAAAUCUGGGGUGUUACAACUUUACCCCCUUAAAGAAAAUUCGUCUUCGAAUUUUACCUGGUCAGAAAAUGUGAGGAUAUCGCUGACGCAUUGAAUCCUCUGGCUCCCAAGUAGCCUCCUCAGUGCUAUGAUUCUGCCACAGCACCUUCACUAAGGGAACAGACUUCCUACGCAGAACUUUGACGUCGCGAUCCAAAAUUUGAACUGGCUCCUUCUCGAAUGUCAGAUCUGGUCUAACCUCAAUUUCCUCUAUAGGCACAAUGUGCGUGGGAUUAGAGCGGUAACAUCUCAACAUCGAGACAUGAAAGACAUCGUGAAUACGAUCUAACUCGGAGGUAACUCCAACUGAUACGCAACUGGCCCCACUCGCUUCAGAAUUUGGUACUGCCCAAUAAACCAGGGACUCAACUUACCUUUGCGACCGAACUUCAGAACCUUUCUCCAAGGCGAGACCUUAAGGAAAACCAAGUCCCCCAUAGAAUACUCAAUAUCGUUCCUCUUCAAAUCAGCAUAGGACUUCUGUGUAUUUGAAGCCGCUUUCAGUCGAUCCCGAAUCAAACAAACCUUAUUUUUAGUCUCUGAAACCAACUCCGAACCCAGAACACGUCGCUCACCCAACUCAAUCCAGCAUAAAGUGGUGCAACACUUACGACUAUAAAGUUCCUCAUCAGGAGCCAUCUGAAUACUAGACUGAUAGGUGUUAUUGUAAGCGAACUCUGCCAAAGGCAAGUACUCCUCCUAACUAACUUGGAAAUCCAUAACACAGCCCCUUAACAUAUCCUCCAGUAUCUAAAUCACCCUCUCCGGCUGACCAUCUGUCUGAGGAUGAAAUGCAGCACUGAAGUCAAGUCGUGAACCCAAAGCUUCAUGAAGCUUCUGCUAAAAUCAAAAAGUAAACUGAGGAUCUCUAUUGGAGAUAAUCGACACUGGAACCUCAUGUAGUUUUACUAUCUCUGAGAUGUAAAGUUUAGAAAACUUCUGUAAAGAGAAGUCUGCCCUAACAGGAAUGACGUGUGCAGACUUGGUCAAUCGAUCCAUGACGACCCAAACAGAAUCCUUCUUAGUGGGUGUUAGUGGCAACCCACUAACGAAAUCCAUCGUUAAUCGCUCACAUUUCCACGUAGGUAUCUUAACAGGCUGUAGCAACCCCGAAGGCAACUGAUGCUCAGCCUUAACCUGCUGACAAGUCAGACAGCAUGCAACGAAAUUGGUCAACUCACGCUUCAACCCUGGCCACCAGUACAACUCUCGGAGAUCUUUAUACAUCUUAUUUCCACCAGGAUACAUAGCUUACGGACUACUAUACGCUUCUUUUAAAAUCGACAGCCUCAAAUCCUCAUCAUUAGGUACACAGAUCCUACUUCAGAAGCACAAUACCCCUUCACUAUUCAGCCCAAAAUCUGUAGUAGUCCCACUCUAAACCUGACGAAAUUGCAUCUCGAGAGUCUUAUCUUCUAACUGCUUAACUCUAAUCUGCUCAAUCCAUGUCGGCUUCACUUGAAGCUCUGCCAGAAGACUCCUAUCAUUAUAAAGACUCAGUCGAGCGAAAAAAGCUCUCAAAUUAGCCACAACACUACGGCUUAAUGCUCGACCACCACAUUGGCCUUUCCAGGGUAAUACUCUAUACUACAGUCGUAAUCCUUAAGUAGCUCAACCCAUCGUCACUGCCUAAAAUUUAACUCCUUCUGAAUGACCAGAUGCUUGAGGCUCUUGUAAUCAGUGUAUAUGGUACACCUCUCACCGUACAGAUAGUUCCUCUAAAUCUUUAAUGCAAAGACGAUUGCAGCCAACUCCAAAUCAUGCGUUGGAUAAUUAGCCUCGUGAGUCUUAAGUUGUCGAGAUGCAUAGGCAACUACCUUACCAUAUUACAUCAAGACGCAACCCAAACCCACAUGUGAUGCACCACUGUAAACCACAAAGUCCCUACCAGGCUCAGGCUGUAUCAGAAUUGGAGCCUGAGUUAACACGGUUUUGAGCUUCUCAAAGUUCUCCCACUAUGCAUUAGUCCAAACAAAGGAAACUCCCCUACAGAGUAACUUAGUCAAAGGCGCUGCAAUCAAAGAAAACCCUUCUUCGAAACGUUGAUAAUAUCCUGCCAGUCCCCGAAACUACGAAUCAUCGACACAUUCUUCGGCUGUUUCCAAUCCAGCACAGCCUCAAUCUUACGAAGAUCAACAUGAAUUGCCCCAGCAGACACCAUAUGUCUCAAAAAGAUUACUUCAUGAAGCCAAAACUCACACUUAGAGAACUUUGCAUAAAGCUGUUUCUCACGAAGGAUCUAUAGAAUAACCCUAAGAUGCUCAUCGUGCUCAUCCUCAGAUUUAGAGUAAAUCAAGAUGUCGUCGAUAAACACCACCACGAACUGGUCUAAGUAGGGCUAAAACACCCGGUUCAUCAAGUCCAUGAAUACCGCUGGUGUAUUAGUCAACCCAAAGGGCAUAACCAAGAACUCGUAAUGUCCAUAACGAGUCCUAAAUAUCGUCUUAAGCACAUCAGCCUCCUAACCCUUAACUGAUGAUAACCUGAUCGUAGAUCGAUCUUUGAGAACACCGAAGCCCUUUUGAGCUGAUCGAAUAAAUCGUCUAUCCCCGGAAGUGGGUAUUUAUUCUUAAUCGUCAACUUACUCAACUGACGGUAAUCGAUACACAUCCUCAUCGUACCGUCCUUCUUCUUUACGAAUAGAACAGGUGCUCCCCAUGGAGACACACUGGGACGAAUAAACCCACGAUCUAAUAGCUCCUGAAUUUGAGCCUUCAGUUUUGCCAGCUCCUUUGGUGCCAUUCGACAAAGGGCGAUAGACACCGGAGCUGUACCAGGAAUCAACUCAAUAAAAAAUUCUACCUCACGACUCGGAGGCAAUCCCGGUAGUUCUUCUGGAAAAACAUCUGGAAAGUCCUUCACAGUACGGAUGUCCUUAACCGAAGAGUCCACAGAAUCAGAAACACUGAUGUAGGCCAAGUAUGCCUCACAUCCCUUUCUUACAAGCUUCUCCGCUACCAACGCAGAUAUCACAUUACUUAGAUAAUUUCGUCGUUCUCCAAUCACGACUAUCUCAUCGUCCUCCUUGGUCCUCAGAACAACCCUCUUUUCAGCACAAUCCAGACUUAAACGAUGCUUCACCAACCAGUCCAUGCCCAGAAUUAAAUCGAACUCCUUAAACGGAAGUUCCAUCAGAUCAGCCAAGAAUACUGUUACUUGGACUUCCAACGGAACGUCUCUAAACAAUUUAUUAACCCUAAUGGACUGCCCCAACAGACUCACAGCUGAAAUCUCACUAGAAUUGCUCUCCUGUGGAGUCCCUAAAGUCUCAGACACAGAACAUGCAACAUAAGAAUGUGUAGAGCCUAUGUCUAUCAGUGCAACAUAAGGUACAUCAAGAAUUAAAAACGUACCCGUGAUGACAUCCGAAGCAUCUCCAUCCUCACGGCGACAAGUAGCAUAGACAAAUGCAGGUUACCUCGCUUGAGUCGGCCCAGAACCUCUCCCUAGUGCUCUCUGACCUCGACCCAUAUCGUUACCACCCCUAGCCUGUCCUCAGCCCCUGGUGGCUGCUGUAUAACUCUUUACGGCUGCGCAGCCUCAACAACUGAAGCUUGCAUCUGAUUACUCCUCAAUAGACAAUCCUUUACACCAUGCUUAGUCAAACCACACCUCAAACAAGAUCCAGUAGCCCUCCAACACUCGCGUGGAUGACAUCUAUUACAGAGCUAACACAUCGCCAUCCCAACAGGAACAACAACAGUAGUGUAACACCCUUAACCCCGUCCCGUUACCAGAACAGGAUUACAGAGUAUUACCAGUCAUUACAGUAUAUUUGCACAUAAACAAGUAUAAAUGCAAUAUUAUCCAUCUAAAUAUAACUUUAAUGGGUCCACACUACUUCACAAGUGUAAUUAAAACAAACCGGGAUUCAAUCGGAAUCUUAGGAAAUUUUUCGUGAAAUUUUAAAUUUUCUUCCUUUGAACAGUACCACACGGCCGUGUGGCUAGUUUAACAUGCCCGUGCGGCUUGGGACACGCCCGUGCCCUCAACCCUGUGCAACACUGACUUUUAAACACGGCUAUGACACACAUCCGUGUGGCCUGCCCGUGUACUAAACUGGCUUUAGGACACGGCCGUGGCAACCAAGGCACACACCCGUGUAUUAACUUGGUUGUAACAAUUUAAGUGCAAGGGACACAUGGCCUAACAACAUGCCCAUGAGCAAGCCGUGCACACGCCCGUGUGACAAACCAUGUGAACUCAAAAUGAACCUUGUAUUUUAAAAUUUACCAAUCCUUCAAAUUGUAGACAACAAGCAUUUCAAAAUUUCUCCAUUCAAUCAGUCCAGACAUCCUAGGUACAUGUCAUUAUCAACAAUUAACAUACUUUACCUUAUUGAGUUCGGGAUCGGCCUGGGAUGCUGAUUCAACGAUCUGACUUUAACUUAACCUGCGCACAGAAACAAACCAUACGCUGAGUAUGAACUCAAUGGUAUUUCUAUAAUCCGAACAUUUAAAACAUAGCAUACACUUAUUGUCCUACAAUAAUCAUAAAUAUUCAUUUAUUCAUUUCAUAGAUAAUUUCUUUACAACUCAUUCAAAUUUCAUCAUCUAAUAACUUGAUUAGCUUUUCCAUUUAAUUCACAACAAUAAUAUUCUCUAUUCAUAUGUCUUACUUGUGUUUCUAUUCACUAUUCAAUAUCAAUAAACAUAUUUUAGUAUCGAUUAAUUUAUCAGUUCCUUUCAGAAACAUUUAGUCAUUCGAUAACAAUUAGUUAUCCAGUAACGAUUACUCGCUCAGUAGCAAUCAAUUAUUCGAUGACAAUCAGUAUUUUUCAAUAACAAUCAUUUAAUCACUAUUAUUUAGUAUCAGUCAUUCAUUUAUUCAGUAACAGUCAAAUAUUCAGUAGCAGUAAAUUUUUCAGUACCUUUAUUUGCCUUAUUAGCAUAACUCGGACUUGGACAGAUACACGGAUCCGACCCACACACCGGGGAUAGUAUAUAGUGUUUUAUCGGCCGAAGCCAGAAUACACCGUAAGGGUAACAGUAACAGUAACAGUAAUAGUAGCGAUACACAAAGUACUUCAUUGGAACAAAUCCAAAACAGUAACAGUAACAGUCACAGUCAGGUUCAGAGUAUCUCUUUGAAACGAAUCCGGAACAGUCACGGCAGUCGACACAUAUAGUGUCUCAUCGACACACAGUCGGAAUAUCCCUGAACACUUCCAAUUCUAUGGCAUACUAACUAUAUACGACUAGUCCGAUACAAUUAACAGGGUAUUCAGUGAACUUUCAAAUUUUCAAUUUCAUUUGUAAUUUAAUUUCAAUUCAAUUUAAUACAUUUUUCCUUAUCAAUCAACAUGCAAUUUAAUUGCAAUACAAUAUAUAUUUUGAUUCAUUUCAAUAAUCAUAAAACACAAUAAUGCUUACCUGAAUUACUUACCAUAACAUUCAAUCAAAAUAUAAUAAUUAACAAUUAAAUUUCACUUUUCAAUGCAUCAACCUACACAUUAAAUAAUAAAUUCAACAAUUAAAUAUUAAGUUCGGAUUAUAGAAACACAAACCGUGAUUUCUGAGCUAACCCUCGUUGACCUCGUCUUUUCCUUUCUUAACCGAGGAUUUUUCGGCACCCCGUUAGCUACGAAAUUAAUACAAUUUAUAAUCAUUAAUAUAGUAAAAUUUUCACAUUGAAUGUUUCAAUUUUUAUUCAACUUUUGUCUAAAUUCCAAUUUAGUCCCAAACCGAGACUAACUUUUAUUCUUCACAUUUAACUCAAUAUUUUCAUUCAAUUUUCACUUUAAACUAAUUUCAGCUCUCUAAUUUCAGCAUAAAAUCAUAAUUUCAAAAUUCUUUCAAUUUAGUCCCUACCAUUCAAAACUUAUGAAUUACUUUACAAUUCAAUCCUUAUCUCACUUCUAACUUGAAUUUCUAUCAAUUUAAUCCCUAAUUCAUCGUUUUAUUCAACAUAAACAAUAUUUAAAAAUCUAAUAACUUUCAAUAUAUCAAUUUAAUUUCAUCAAAAACUUAUUUCAAAGCUUCUAAAACAUCAAAAUUAAGUAAAAAGGGCUAAAUUGACUUACCUAUUAAACUUCCAAGCUUCAAACCUUCAAUUUUUCCUUUCUUCUUUCUUUCUCCUUUCCUUCCCCAUUUUCGUUUAAACAUUCUGUUUCUUUCAUUCUCUUUUCCUUUUCUUUAUUUCUUUUGUUUCAUUUACUUUUAUGUUUUAAUUAUAUUAUAAUAUAACAUUAUUAUUAAAUAAUAAGUAAGUAUACACGUAUAUUACAAAUGUAUAUAUAUCAUUGUUACACAUAUAAAUUAUUAUUACGACACACUUAUCUUUAUUUAAUUAUUUACUUUAAUUAAUUAAUUAUAAAAUAAUAAGACGCUAUGAAAUGUUCCUUCUGAUCUCUUGAAUUUGUCAAUGCCACAUUCUUCGCUGAGGGAAACAGAAUUCCCGAGCCAAAACUGUCGAGAAAUACCAAGAUGGGUGUCAAAUUGACUAUAGGAAAGGGAGCCCGAGCAAGGAAAGGUUUGGGAAGGUACCUGCAAGGAAUAGUCAGGGCUCUAAAGCCAGUACACCACAAGGCCAGAUACGGUUUAGGGUUCCAGCCGGACAUGCGUCAAAGAAGAAAGCAGUGGAAGAAAUAUCAAGAAAGAAGGAUCGCAAGAUCACUAGGCCGAGAACCAGAAUGGGAGCCCAUGGGAUUCCCUCAUUUGUCAAGAAUAUUUACGUCUGCAGGAAUGAUAUACCCAGGGCAGUAUAGUGCACAAAGCACAAUGAUAAUGAUCGAAGAGGGUUUUCAGAAUAUCAGUAUAAAUGUCAUUGAUAAAGGAGCUGAUGCGAGUAAAGACGUCUCAAAGAUACGCCCUUAUCCCCCGGGUUUCAUGUUGAACAAUUGGACUGCCGAGGAUCUUCUUGUAGUUUAUAAGUCUUCAUAGUAAUGCUCAAACGUUAACAUUCUGUUAUGUCCUUAGAUAUAACAGAAUUCUUUUGUAAGAGCUUGCAUUCACUCUUUAUCAUUUAAAUGAAUAUCAAUAAAGAUGCAUUUUGUCACGUUUUUUUCGCAUUAUCACUAAUUCCAUAAUCAUUUCAUAGCCUAUCUUUACAAUUGCCUCACGCCAUACCAUAACAUUCAGUUUGUUGGUUUCAAUACUUAGAUGUCCCUCUAUAGUUUCAUUUUUCCAUUCAACUUUCAGGUGCUCGGAUAUCAAUUGCACGAACAAUCUCGUUACGAGUCCUGAAAUCAAUUUUGAGAAGGCUAUUUGCUUAGGAGAAUUCGAAGCCGAAGAAAAUGCUGAAGACUAUGUCUCGUCUCCUAACUUACUAAGAAUGGUGGAAUAAGAGGAUAAACAGAUUUUGCCUCAUCAAGAAUCUGUUUAAACAAUAAAUCUGGGAACUGAAGAAAGGAAACAAGAAGUGAAGAUUGGAACUUCUAUUUCAGGGGGCACCAGGCAUAAUUUGAUUGCUUUGCUCCACGAGUACAAAGAUGUAUUCGCAUGGUCAUAUCAGGACAUGCCAGGAUUGGAUGAAAAUGUAGCGGUCCAUAAGCUCCCAUUAAAGCCAGAAUGCAAGCCCAUUCAACAAAAGCUAAGACGGAUGAGGCCUGAGAUGUUGUUGAAGAUAAAAGAGGAAGUCAAGAAGCAAUUUGAUGCUGGCUUCCUACAAGCCUCCAAAUAUCCAGAAUGGGUGGCUAACAUAGUCCCGGUACCAAAGAAAGACGGCAAAGUACGAAUGUGCGUGGAUUAUCGUGACCUGAAUCGAGUAAGUCCUAAAGAUAAUUUUCCCUUACCACACAUUGAUACGUUGGUAGAUAACACAACAAAACAUUCAUUGUUUUCUUUCAUGGAUGGAUUCUCGGGGUAUAAUCAGAUCAAGAUGGCCCCUGAGGAUAUGGAGAAAACUACCUUCGUAACAAUGUGGGGAACAUUCUGCUACAAGGUGAUGCCAUUUGGGUUAAAGAAUGUUGGGGCAACAUAUUAGAGGGAUAUGGUGACGUUAUUCCAUGACAUGAUGCAUAAAGAAAUAGAGGUCUACGUCGAUGAUAUGAUUGCUAAGUCCCGAGGGAAAGAAGAGCAUGUAGCGAAUCUGAAGAAUUUGUUCGACAGACUGAGAAAGUUCCAGCUAAAGCUCAAUCCGUCCAAAUGUACGUUUGGGGCUACUUCAGGAAAAUUGCUUGGCUUCAUUGUCAGCGAGAAAGGCAUUGAAGUUGAUCCAGAUAAAAUAAAAGCCAUUCAAGAGUUACCACCCCCGCGCAUGCAAAAGGAAGUCAGAGGAUUUUUAGGGAGAUUAAACUACACCGCCCGAUUUAUCGUUUAACUUACCAACCAAUGCGACCCAAUCUUUCGACUCCUUCGAAAACAUAAUCCCGGAGAAUGGAACAAGGAGUGCCAAGUGGCUUUUGACAAGAGAAAACAGUAUUUGUCUAAUCCUCCAGUGCUAGUACCUCCAAUGCCGGGAAGACCAUUGAUAUUGUAUUUGACUAUGUUCGAGAAGUCAAUGGGUUGCGUACUGGGGCAACACGAUGAGUCAGGAAAGAAAGAAAAGGCGAUCUACUACCUCAGCAAAAAGUUUACUGAAUAUGAGGCAAAGUAUUCGUCCAUAGAAAAAUACUGCUGCGCUCUGGUUUGGGUAGCUCGGAGACUUAGGCAAUAUAUGCUGUAUCAUAUGACAUGGCUAAUUUCAAAGUUGGACCCAAUAAAGUACAUGAUGGAAUCACCCGCACUCUCAGGAAGAAUGGCAUGAUGGCAGAUCUUAAUAUCAGAAUAUGACAUCGUCUAUGUGAGCCAAAAGUCGAUAAAAGGGAGUGCAAUAGCUGACUUCUUAGCAACUCGAACAACGGAGGAAUACUAGCCAUUGAAAUUUGAUUUCCCAGAUGAAGACUUAAUGUGCAUUACAGAAAAACAAUGUGAGUCAUCAAAAGAAAAGUCAUGGAGGAUGAGCUUUGAUGGUGCAUCGAAUGCAUUGGGGCAUGGGAUUGGAGCAGUCUUAGUAUCACCAGAAGGGAACCAUUAUCCGUUCACUGCCAGACUGAAUUUCUUCUGUACCAAUAACAUAGCGGAAUAUGAAGCUUGUAUCAUGGGACUUCGUGCAGCAAUUGAACGAAACAUCCAAACUUUAGAGGUAUACGGAGACUCAGCAUUAGUGAUUUAUCAAAUCCGUGGAGAUUGAGAAGUGAGGGAUUCAAAAUUAGUCAAAUACAGUGAUCUCGUGGCAGGGUUGAUUAAAGAAUUCAAAGAAAUAACUUUUAAUUACUUUCCACGAGAAGAAAACCAGUUAGCUGAUGCCCUGGCCGCUUUGGCUUCAAUGUUUAAAGCAAAUAGAGAAACAGAAAUAAUGCCUCUUCAAAUGAGCAUAUAUGAAGUCCCUGCAAAUUGUUUCAGCAUUGAGGAAGAGCCAGAUGGGCAGCCAUGGUUCCAUGAUAUCUUAAAAUACAUCAAGAAUCAAAGGUAUCCCGAGCAAGCAAAUGUGAACGACAGAAGAACAAUCAGAAGAAUGGCAGCGGAAUUUAUUCUUGAUGGGGACAUCCUAUACAAAAGAGGAAAAGAUCAGGUGCUCUUGAGAUGCGUGGAUACAGUUGAAGCCAGAAAAAUACUUAAAGAUGUCCAUGAAGGAAUUUGCGGGACACAUGCCAAUGGUUUCACUAUGGCCAGGAAGAUUAUAAGACUCGGAUAUUACUGGCUGUCGAUGGAAAGCGACUGCAUUAAUUUCGCACGAAAAUACCACAAAUGUCAAAUCUAUGGUGAUAAAAUUCAUGUAGCCCCUUUGCCCCUUCACGUCAUGACUUCUCUGUGGCCUUUUUCUAUGUGAGGCAUGGAUGUUAUAGGGUAAAUCUCUCCAAAAGCUUCCAAUGGACACCGGUUCAUUUUUGUGGUCAUUGAUUACUUCACAAAAUGGAUAGAAGCCGCAUCGUUUGCCAAUGUGACGAAGACUGUAGUUUGUAAAUUUUUAAAAAAGGAAAUCAUUUGUCGAUAUGGUUUGCCUGAAAGAAUCAUCUCAGAUAACGCCUUGAAUUUGAACAACAAGAUGAUGAAAGAAGUGUGUGAGCAAUUCCAAAUAAAACAUCAUAACUCCUCACCCUAUCGCCCAAAGAUGAACGGAGCUGUUGAAGCAGCCAAUAAGAAUAUUAAAACGAUUAUUAGGAAAAUGACCGAGACAUAUAAAGACUGGCACGAUAAGCUACCAUUUUCUUUGUAUGCAUAUCGUACUUCUGUGCGGACAUCUACGGGAGCAACUCCUUUCUCUCUGGUCUAUGGAAUGGAAGCUGUGCUACCCAUCAAAGUUGAGAUCCCUUCUCUACGAGUCUUAAUGGAAUUAAAAUUAGAAGAAGCAGAAUGGGUUCGAGCUCGAUAUGACCAGUUAAACCUUAUCGAAGAAAAACGUCUGCAGGCAGUCUGCCAUGGACAGAUGUACCAGAAGAGAAUGAUCGCAGCCCAUGACAAGAAGGUACGACCAAGAGAAUUCCACGAAGGAGAACUCGUGCUGAGGAAGAUUCUCCCAAUACAAAAAGAUUUCCGAAGAAAAUGGGUGCCAAAUUGGGAAGGUCCAUAUGUCGUAAAGAAGGCAUUCUCGGGCGGAGCUUUGAUCCUCACUAAGAUGGAUGGAAAAGAGUUACCGAGUCCAGUGAAUUCAGAUGCUGUAAAGAAAUAUUAUGCUUGAAAAAGGAAACCAAGAUGAAAACCCGAAAAGGGCAUAUAAAAAAAAAGAAAGAAAAAGGGUGAUCAAGGUGAAAACCUGAAAAAGGCGUCUUGAUUAAACACAAAAGAUUAGGAUGAAAACCCGAAAGGGCAUUCUAAUGAAGCAAACCCGUGCUUAAAGAACAAGGCGUUUUGAACGGUGGGUCAAAUAGUGAGACUACCAUAUUUGAAGCAUUUCUGAAAGCUCGAAAUCUUUUACGCAAGAAGCCAUGCUCAAAAAGAUUCUUGAUUGAGGAACGUGGAAGAGUUCAUGCAUUGAAUAUCUAGAGAAUUUGUAUUCGUUGAAUGCAAUCCCUCUUCUCUUUAUGACACUCUUUUACUAGCAUUAGUUAACUUUCUUUGUUUGCUACAUUUGAAGUGAAUAAAUGUGAGGUAUCCUUUUGUCCCUACCUGACCAUUUUCACGCAUCUCAUUAUGUGAUUCAUUUACAUGAUAAAUAGUGAAAUGACAUACUCUAAACGAAAGAAAUGUUAAGCAUUACCCGGGUAAGAAUUUGAUAAGUACAAGAGCCUCAACGCAAGGAAAAAGCUCAACCAGGGGCAAAAGAGUGAUAUUUGAGAAACAUUGAUUACUCGUGAAACUUGAGGACGGGUACAGGGCCUAAGGAGAAAGUCAGGAGCCGAAGUAAUGAAUACAGAUCAUCACGAAAAUCAUGAUGAAAAAGGGCAUACGACAAACAUGCCUAAGACACAUAGCAUAAUCAUGUAGGCAUAAAAUCAUUUACGAAAAACAUAUGCAUAUCAUGAUAACAUCAUGCAUGACAUAUACAGGUACUCCAGUAGGGCAAGAAGAUGUGAUGAUAGCUGAAAAGACACAUGAGUUCCACCAGAUGACAUGUUCUGGUAUUCUGAUGUUUUAUUUCAAAAUUUAAUUCAUAUUGCGAGAGGUGAGUUGAGCCUCAGGACACGCUGAGGUAUUUUCAAUUUCUGUUGUCAAAAAAAUCAACCCGUAUUGGGAGAGGUGAGUUGAGCCUCGGGACACGCUGAGGUAUUGUCAAAUUUUCGUAUGUUUCAAAAAAAUCAACUCAUAUUGCGAGAGGUGAGUUGAGCCUCAGGACACGCUGAAGUAUUUUCAAUUUCUGUUGUCAAAAAAAUCAACUCAUAUUGCGAGAGGUGAGUUGAGCCUCAGGACACGCUGAGGUAUUGUCAAAUUUUCGUAUGUUUCAAAAAAAUCAACUCAUAUUGCAAGAGGUGAGUUGAGCCUCAGGACACGCUGAAGUAUUUUCAAUUUCUGUUGUCAAAAAAAUCAACUCAUAUUGCGAGAGGUGAGUUGAGCCUCAGGACACGCUGAGGUAAUUUCAAUUUCUGUUGUCAAAAAAAUCAACUCGUAUUGCGAGCGGCGAGUUGAGCCUCAAGUCACACGCCGAGCUAUUUUCAAUUUCCGUUUUUCAAUUUCUGCCUUUCAAAAAAAAAUCAACUCAUAUUGCGAGAGGUGAGUUGAGCCUCAGGACACGCUGAGGUAAUUUCAAUUUCUGUUGUCAAAAAAAUCAACUCGUAUUGCGAGCGGCGAGUUGAGCCUCAGGUCACACGCCGAGGUAUUUUAAAUUUCCGUUUUUCAAUUUCUGCCUUUCAAAAUAAAAUCGACUCAUAUUGCGAGAGGUGAGUUGAGCCUUGGCUCACGCGCUGAGCUAUUUUCAAUUUCUGUUUUUCAAAAAAAUCAACUCAUAUUGCGAGAGGUGAGUUGAGCCUUAGAUCACACGCCGAGGUAUUUUCAAUUUCCGUUUUUCAAUUUCUGCCUUUCAAAAAAAAAUCGACUCAUAUUGCGAGAGGUGAGUUGAGCCUUGGCUCAUGCGCUGAGCUAUUUUCAAUUUCUGUCUUUCAAAAAAAUCAACUCGUAUUGCAAGCGGCGAGUUGAGCCUCAGGUCACACGUCGAGGUAUUUUCAAUUUUUGUUUUUCAAUUUCUGCCUUUCAAAAAAAAAUCGACUCAUAUUGCGAGAGGUGAGUUGAGCCUUGGCUCACGCGCUGAGCUAUUUUCAAUUUUUGUCUUUCAAAAAAAUCAACUCAUAUUGCGAGAGGUGAGUUGAGCCUCAGAUCACACGCCGAGGUAUUUUCAAUUUCUAUUUUUCAAUUUCUGCCUUUCAAAAAGAAAAUCGACUCAUAUUGCGAGAGGUGAGUUGAGCCUUGGCUCACGCGCUGACCUAUUUUCAAUUUCUGUCUUUCAAAAAAAUCAACUCAUAUUGCAAGAGGUGAGUUGAGCUUCAAAUCACACACUGAGGUAUUUUUUUAUUCAAUUUAUAUUUUUCAAAAAUCAACUCAUAUUGCGAGAGGUGAGUUGAGCCUUGAGUCACAUAUCGAGGUAUUUUCAAAAUUUUCUUUUCAAGUUAAGUUUCAAAAAUCAACUCAUAUUGCGAGAGGUGAGUUGAGCCUUGGCUCACGCGCUAAGCUAUUUUCAAUUUCUAUUUUUAGAGAGUCAAUUCAUAUUGCGAAAAUGAGUUGAGCUCAGGAGCACAUGCCGAGUAGAGAAUAAAGAUUGAAGCUGAUUGAAGACGUCAGAUUCUGUCUCCUUAAAGUUGCAGUGGAGUUGUUCAAGGACAUCAGAUCUUGCCUUUCUGAAGUCGCAGAAGAAAAGACCACAAACCUUAUCUCACUGAAGCGAUAGAAGAGCAGAUUCAAGUUGUAGAUCUCACCUUUCUGAAAUUACAGUGAAGUAGGUCGAAGCCAUAAAUUUCAUAUCCUUGAAGUUACAUUGGAACAGAUUGAAGCUACAAGGCGUAUAUCAUAAGAUGCAGUGGAGUGAACCAAAGCUACAAGAUGCGGUGGACUGAAAAGGGACUAACUAAACAAGAAGAGUUCCAAAGCAAGUCAAGACCUAGCAAGACCGGGCAAAUUUGGUCUUCCUUGAAAGUCUUUGCUCUAUUCUUUUUGCACGACAAUGAGCAAAGAGGGGCAGCUGUAGAAGCCCAAAUUGCCCGAGCCCGAUUUCAUCAAAACCCAACCAAACCUCUAAACCCACUAAAACCCUUAACCCAUGACCCAUUUACAUCUACCCAAACCCAUUACAAAACCCAAAUAUUAAACCCAAUUCAAAAGCCCAUUAAGCCCCCCCAAAAAAAAAACUAAAAAGAAAAACCUAACCCAAAAAAAAAACCAAGAAACCCUAGCCACCUAGCCACUUUCCCACUUGCCCUAUUUUUCCUCCCAUUUUUGAUAUCCAUUGUCUACCACCACCACCUACAAAAUAGAAAAAGAAAUAAUAGAAAAUCAUGUAAAAGAUGGCUAUAAAAAGCCAUUCAAAAAUCAUGUUUGGGGGGAGGGGGAAUUUUGAUCAAUGCAAAGAAUUUAUCUUCAUUUUUGCAUCAAUAUUAGUAGAUUAAAACCAAGAAAGAAAGUGGAUAGUGUCGAAUACAAAUAAAAAAUCUCAGAAAUCGAAAGCUAAAAAAUACCCAAAGGUGAUUUUAUCUUUUUUAUUAUUUUACUCUUAUUUUUAUUUUUAUUUUAUUUUUUCCCUUUUUUUUCGAAUCUAUUAAUCUAUAUAUAUACAUCAUAAUAAAAAUAUAAUAAAAAUAUAUAUACAAAAAAAAUAUUUUAAAAAAAAUUUACCUUUUCCAGCCACCACGUGUGGUGGCCGGCGCCGGCGACGGACGGCGGCCGACGGUCGGACGGUGACCGGCCUUGUGGCCGGAAAUCACCUCAACCCUCUCCCUCUCUCUCUUUUUUUGCUUUUCAAGUCCAAGAAUGAAUUUUUUUUUUUGAAUAAAAAAAGGCCUUUUAUAGCCCCCAAAACGACGUCGUUUUGACUUGGAUCGGUUCGACCCGACCCGACCCGCUUAGGAUCCGCGUGUUUUUUUAAGGAAGGGCUAAUUGCGCUUUUAGCCCUUCCGCUUUUUAUUGUUUGCAAUUAAGUCAUUAUUCGUUUUUUUAAUUUGGCCCCAAAAUUUAUCGCGAUUUUCAAUUUAGUCCCCGCUAAUGUGCUGAGUUUUGAUGGGAAGGAAUAUUUGUUGUUUUGGCCCCCCACUAUUUCCGCUCAUGUUCAAUAUAGUCCUUUCCUUUUAUUUUUAUUUCAAUUUUGCCCCAAAUAUUUUGUUUUUAGUUCAAUUUAAUUCUUUUUAGUUACUUUACUAUUUAAAUUAAUUAUUUUAGUAUUAUUAUCAUAUUUCAUUUACUUAUGUAGUGUGUUAAUAAUUUUUUAUCAUUUCUAAUACGUAUAUAUAUAUUAUAUGUAUUUUAUAUAUAUUAUGUAUAUAUAUUUUUUUAAAUGCCAUUAGUUAUAUAUUUCUUAUACUAUUCCAUGUAUGUAUUUUAUAUCAUCUUAUGUAUCUUAAAUACUAUUGUAUAUACAUAUAUAUAUAUUUAAAUAUCAUAUUGUGUAUAUAUUAUUAUUACAAAUUAUUACUAUUACUAGUAUUAUUAUAACUAUUAUUAUAUUAGUGUAUAUUUUAUGUACAUAUGUGUAUAUAUAUAUUGUACAUAUUAUUAUUUUAUAUUAUUAUUACCAAAUAUAUCAUUUUUCCUAUUUUAUUAUUAGUACAUGAUUUGUUUUUGUUUUUAUUUUUUGUAAAUAUCAUUAUUAUUGUUAUUCUAAUAUUCUAGUAUUCCACGUUAAUAUUUUUCAUUAAUGAUAUCAUUUUUUUUUGCGUCCUUUAUCUAUUUUUAAUUUUUCACUUUAGGAAUAUUUUUUCUCAUGUUUUAAUUAAUUUCGAAAAUAAGGCAAUGUACCGAUUUAAUAUUAAGCCAUCGAUUUCAUCGCUAUGAUGGGUGAAAUUUGUCGGCUUGUGUUAAAAAAACGGGACACCCUUUCUAAUAAAAAAAUCGAAAACUAAAAAUUCUCAUUUUUCAAUUGGAUCACGAGUAAAUGUCUAAUUGAAUUCGUACUUUUCAAAAUCAAGACAACACGAGUUUAACAAGAUACCAAUUUUGGGCGUCGCAAGGGUGCUAAUACCUUCCUCGCGCGUAACCGACUCCCGAACCCAACUUUACUCUGGCUUUUGACGUAGACCUAAAUUCGGCCUUCAUUUUUGUGCAAGAAUAAGUUUUCUUUUCUAAAAAAGGAUGAUUUAUUAAGUGUCCGAUCACACCUAGAAAAAAGAUCGGUGGCGACUCUCUUUUUUAAUAAAAUUGAAAGUAGAUUUUUAAAUUUUUAAAUUUUCAAAUAAUCGCCUCAAUUAGCGACCGAAAGAGAAUUUUUUACGUCGCUACAAGAUAUAUACAACAUAGUUGCCCGAUGACAAGUCAAUAGCCUUUCAGUCUUCCUUCUCUUCAACAACAAACCCAACCUAACCCAAUGCAAUGCAAUAUAAAUAAUAUGGUAUGCUUAUGUGCAGACAUCAGAUCAUAACAUUGUCAUCAAAUUAGAACAGAUACACAUGCUUUAAUUAUCAUACUCUUACGUACAUCUUAGUAUCAGAUCAGAGUAUAGGGGUCUAAGUAUUGCUUACCGACCCUACCAACAGGUUACAGUCGACUUGGGCGACCCGUGCAACCUUGCAGAACAUUCCAAACAACUCGGGCUCACACGUCUGUGUGCCUUGCCCGUGUGGGCCCACAUGCCUGUGUGGCUCAUACGGCCCAGAUUGGCCUUACCCGUGUCGAUCAUAUGGCCUGGCCCAAGAUCUCACACUCUCCUGUGGUUCAUCCGUGUGGUCCACACGGCCCAGUUGGUCAAGCCCGUGCCUCACACACAGCCUCGCCAGCCUCACACGCCAGUGUCCGUCGUGCCCGUGUGGCAUACGCACGGUCUACUUCUUCGACCACACGGUCGUGUCUCGCCACAUGACCUCCACACGGGUAGUCCACACUCCCAUGUGGCGUCGACAGCAGUGUUUUCAGCUUUCACCGAAACGCGACUUCAGAUCGAUUGGAGUACACACCUGGUUUUGAUUGCAGCCUAACGCAAUCCUGAGCCCUUCAGAAGCUAUAUUCAACAAUGUCAAGACCCAUUUCAGUCAGUUAAACAAUGUUUGAUUGAAGCUAAACGAGGUAUUCCGCACCGAAAUCGGUAAAUUCCUUACCUCGAGCAAAAACUAGCGAAUACUACGCGCUUAACUCGCUGUUCAGGAACGAAGAACAGCCCCUUGAUCUGUACCUAAACACCCAAACAAAAUUUCCCUUUAAUCUCUUAAUCAAAAUGAUGCUUACGAACGACAAGCAAAAACUUACCAAUGAGGAGAAUGUCAAUGAAAUGCAGAAGCCCGUUAAUACGAAAUCAAAAUGAAUGAGAGGAAGGCAAGGGAAAUUUCGGCAAAAAGAAAAGGAAAAGAACGUGGAGAGGGGAACAAUAGUAGAGAAUUUCGACAAAGAGAGAGUUCUUUUGGGGAAACUACUCAGAAAAAUCUGAUAAACCUUACCACUUCAGAAUUUUAGUUCACCUCCAAUUCUCUCACGGCCUUAGUGGCAAGAGUAAUGCCCAAGCUAGGAUUCGAACACAGGACUUCUAGCAUAAACCUUUUCCACUUAACCACUAGACCAGCCGGCCCAUUCUGUUAAGUUUUUACCAAAAAAUCCUUAUAAGCUUAUUAACCAAAAGCCAAGCUUUACUUAAACAAAAAUUUUGCCCAAGUUGAGACUUGAACUUGGGACUUCCCUAACACACCCUCAAAGCACUUAAACACAAAAGCAGACAUAUAUUAGGUAAAUUCAUGCAAAAACAUAUUCAGAUAUUUUCCAAUGCUACAAUUUUACAAAAACCGAAAUUAUCAAAAUCUGGGGUGUUACAACUCUACCCCUUAAAGAAAAUUUGUCCUCGAAUUUUACCUGGUUAGAAAAGGUGAGGAUAUCGCUGACGCAUUGAAUCCUCUGGCUCCCAAGUAGCCUCCUCAGUGCUAUGAUUCUGCCACAGCACCUUCACUAAGGGAACAAACUUCCUACGCAGAACUUUGACGUCGCAAUCCACAAUUUGAACUGGCUCAUUCUCGAAUGUCAGAUCUGGUCUAACCUCAAUUUCAUCCAUAAGCACAAUGUGCGUAGGAUUAGAGUAGUAACAUCUCAACAUCGAGACAUGAAAGACAUCGUGAAUACGAUCUAACUCUGGAGGUAACUCCAACUAAAACGCAACUGGCCCCACUCGUUUCAGAAUUCGGUACUGCCCAAUAAACCGGGGACUCAACUUACCUUUGCGACCGAACUUCAGAACCUUUCUCCAAGGCGAGACCUUAAGGAAAACCAAGUCCCCCACAGAAUACUCGAUAUCGUUCCUCUGCAAAUCAGCAUAGGACUUCUGUGUAUUCGAAGCCGCUUUCAGUCGAUCCUGAAUCAAACAAACCUUACUUUUAGUCUCUGAAACCAACUCCGGACCCAGAACACGUCGCUCACCCAACUCAAUCCAGCACAAAGUGGUGCAACACUUACGACUAUAAAGUGCCUCAUAAGAAGCCAUCUGAAUACUAGACUGAUAGGUGUUAUUGUAAGCGAACUCUGCUAAGGGCAAGUACUCCUCCUAACUAACUUGGAAAUCUAUAACACAGCCCCUCAACAUGUCCUCCAGUAUCUAAAUCACCCUCUCCGGCUGACCACCUGUGUGAGGAUGAAAUGAAGCACUGAAGUCAAGUCGUGAACCCAAAGCCUCAUAAAGCUUCCACUAAAAUCAAAAAGUAAACCGAGGAUCCCUAUCGGAGAUAAUCGACACUGGAACCCCAUGUAGUCUUACUAUCUCUAAGAUGUAAAGUUUAGAAAACUUCUGUAAAGAGAAGUCUGCCCUAACAGGAAUGACGUGUGCAGACUUGGUCAAUCGAUCCAUGACGACCCAAACAGAAUCCUUCUUAGUGGGUGUUAGUGGCAACCCACUAACGAAAUCCAUCGUCAUUCGCUCACAUUUCCAUGUAGGUAUCUUAACAGGCUGUAGUAACCCCGAAGGCAACUGAUGCUCAGCCUUAACCUGCUGACAAGUCAGACAGCGUGCAACGAAAUUGGUCACCUCAUGCUUCAACCCUAGCCACUAGUACAACUCUCGGAGAUCUUUAUACAUCUUAUUUCCACCAGGAUACAUAGCGUAAGAACUACGAUGCGCUUCCCUUAAAAUCGACAGCCUCAAAUCCUCAUCAUUAGGUACACAGAUCCUACUUCGGAAGCACAAUACCCCUUCACUAUUCAGCCCAAAAUCUGUAGUAGUCCCACUCUUAACCUGACGAAAUCGUAUCUCGAGAGUCUUAUCCUCUAACUGCUUAGCUCUAAUCUUCUCAAUCCAUGUCGGCUUCACUUGAAGCUCUGCCAGAAGACUCCUAUCAUUAUAAAGACUCAGUCGAGCAAAAAAAGCUCUCAAAUCAGCCACAGCCCUACGGCUUAAUGCUUCGACCACCACAUUGGCCUUUUCAGGGUAAUACUAUAUACUAUAGUCGUAAUCCUUAAGCAGCUCAACCCAUCGUCACUGCCUAAGAUUUAACUCCUUUUGAAUGACCAGAUGCUUGAGGCUCUUGUAAUCAGUGUAUAUGGUACACCUCUCACCGUGCAGAUAGUGCCUCUAAAUCUUUAAUGCAAAGACGACUACAGCCAACUCCAAAUCAUGCGUCGGAUAAUUAUCCUCAUGAGUCUUAAGUUAUCGAGAUUUAUAGGCAACUACCUUAUCGUAUUAAAUCAAGACACAACCCAAACCCACAUGUGACGCACCACUGUAAACCACGAAAUCCCUACCAGGCUCAGGCUGUAUCAGAACUGGAGUCUGAGUUAACAUGGUUUUGAGCUUCUCAAAGUUCUCCUACUGUGCAUCAGUCCAAACAAAGGAAACUCCCCUACACAGUAACUUAGUCAAAGGCGCUGCAAUUAAAGAAAACCCUUCUUCGAAACGUCGAUAAUAUCCUUCCAGUCCCCGAAAACUACGAAUCUCCGACAUAUUCUUCGGCUAUUUCCAAUCCAGCACAGCCUCAAUCUUACGAGGAUCAACACGAAUCGCCCCAGCAGACACCACAUGUCUCAAAAAGAUUACUUCCUGAAGCUAAAACUCACACUUAGAGAACUUUGCAUAAAGCUGUUUCUUACGAAGGAUCUGCAGAACAACCCUGAGAUGCUCAUCGUGCUCGUCCUCAUACUUAGAGUAAAUCAAGAUGUCGUUGAUAAACACCACCACGAACUGGUCUAAGUAGGACUAAAACACCCGGUUCAUCAAGUCUAUUAAUGUCGCUGGUGUAUUAGUCAACCCAAAAUGCAUAACCAAAAACUCGUAAUGUCCAUAACGAGUCCUAAAUACCGUCUUAAGCACAUCGUCCUCCUUAACCCUUAACUGAUGAUAACCUGAUCGUAAAUCGAUCUUGGAGAACAUCGAAGCCUCUUUGAGCUGAUCGAAUAAAUCGUCUAUCCCCGAAAGUGGGUAUUUAUUCUUAAUCGUCAACUUACUCAACUGACGGUAAUCGAUACACAUCCUCAUCGUACUGUCCUUCUUCUUUACAAACAGAACAGGUGCUCCCCAUGGAGACACACUGGAACGAAUAAACCCACGAUCCAACAGCUCCUGAAUCUGAGCCUUCAGUUUUGCCAGCUUCUUUGGUGCCAUUCGACAAAGGGCAAUAGACACCGGAGCUGUACCAGGAAUCAACUCAAUACCAAAAUUUACCUCAUGACUCGGAGGCAAUCCCGGUAGUUCCUCUGGAAAAAUAUCUGGAAAGUCCUUCACAGUACGAAUGUCCUUAACCGAAGAGUCCACAGAAUCAGAAACACUGAUGUAGGCCAAGUAUGCCUCACAUCCCUUUCUUACAAGCUUCUCCGCUACCAACAUAGAUAUCACAUUACUCAAAUAAUUUCGUAGUUCUCCAAUCACGACUAUCUCAUCGUCCUCCUCGGUCCUCAGAACAACCCUCUUUUCAGCACAAUCCAGACUUACACGAUGCUUCACCAACCAGUCCAUGCCCAGAAUUAAGUCGAACUCCUCAAACGAAAGUUCCAUCAGAUCAGCCAAGAAUACCGUUACUUAAACUUCCAACGGAACGUCUUUAAACAAUUUAUUAACCCUAAUAGAGUUCCCCAAUAGGCUCACCGCUGAAAUCUCACAAGAAGUGCUCUCAUACGGAAUCCCCAAAGUCUCAGACACAGAACAUGCAACAUAGGAAUGUGUAAAGCCUAUGUCUAUUAGUGCAACAUAAGGUACAUCAAGAAUUAAAAACGUACCCGUGAUGACGUCUGGAGCAUCUCCAUCCUCAAGGGGACAAGUAGCGUAGACAAAUACAGGCUGCCUCGCCUGAGUCGGCCCAGAACCUCUCCCUAGUGCUCUUCGACCUCGACCCAUAUCGUUACCACCCCUAGCCUGUCCUCAGCCCCUUGUUGGCUGCUGUACAACUCUUUACGGCUGUGCAGUCUCAACAACCGGAGCGUGCAUCUGAUUACUCCUCAGUGGACAAUCCUUCACAUGAUGCUCAGUCGAACCACACCUCAAACAAGCUCCAGUAGCCCUCCAACACUCGCGUGGAUGACGUCUAUUACAGAGCUAACACAUCGCCAUCCCAACAGGAACAACAACAGUAGUGUAACACCCUUAACCCCGUCCCGUUACCAGAACAAGAUUAAAGAGUAUUACCAGUCAUUACAGUACAUUUGCACAUAAACAAGUAUAAAUGCAAUAUUAUACAUCUAAAUAUAACUUUAAUGGAAUUAAAACAAACCGGGAUUCGAUCGGAAUCUUGGGAAAUUUUUCGUGAAAUUUUAAAUUUUCUUCUUUUGAACAAUACCACACGCCCGUGUGGCUAGUUUAACAUGCCCGUGCGGCUUGGGACACACCCGUGCCCUCAACCCGUGUGCAACACUUACUUUUAAACACGGCCAUGACACACAUCAGUGUGGCCUGCCAGUGUACUAAACUGGCUUUAAGACAGGACCGUGGCAACCAAGGCACACGCCCGUGUAUUAACUUGGUUGUAACAAUUUAAGUGUAGGGGACACACGGCCUAACAACAUGCCCAUUUGCAAGCCGUGUGUCUCAUACGGCCUGGUCACACGCCCUUGUGACAAACCAUGUGAACUCAAAAUGAACCUUGUAUUGUAAAAUUUACCAAUUCUUCAAAUUGUAAACAACAAGCAUUUCAAAAUUUCUCCAUUCAAUCAGUCCAGACAUCCUAGGUACAUGCCCAUUAUCAACAAUUAACAUAAUUUACCUUAAUGAGUUCGGGAUCGGCCUGGGAUGCUGAUUCAACGAUCUAACUUUAACUUAACCUGCGCACGGAAACAAACCCUACGCUGAGUAUGAACUCAGUGGUAUUUCUAUAAUCCGAACGUUUAAAACAUAGCAUACACUUAUUGUCCUAUAAUAAUCAUAAAUAUUCAUUUAUUCAUUUCAUAGAUAAUUUCUUUACAACUCAUUCAAAUUUCAUCAUCUAAUAACUUGAUUAGCUUUUCCAAUUAAUUCACAACAAUAAUAUUCUCUAUUCAUAUGUCUUUCUUGUGUUUCUAUUCACUAUUCAAUAUCAAUAAACAAAUUUUAGUAUCGAUUAAUUUAUUAGUUUCUUUCAGAAACAUUUAUUCAUUCGAUAACAAUUAGUUAUCCAGUAACGAUUACUCGCUCAGUAGCAAUCCUUUACUCAGUAGCAAUCAAUUAUUCGAUGACAAUCAGUAUUUUUCAAUAAAAAUCAUUUAAUCACUAUUAUUUAGUAUCAGUCAUUCAUUUAUUUAGUAACAGUCAGAUAUUCGGUAGCAAUAAAUUUUUCAGUACCUUUAUUUGCCCUAUUAACAUAACUCGGACCUGGACGGAUACACGGAUCCGACCUCGACGGAUACAUGGAUUUGACCCACACACCGGGGAUAGUAUACAGUGUUUCAUCAGCCGAAGCCGGAAUACACCGUAAGGGUAACAGUAACAGUAACAGUAAUAGUAGCGGUACACAAAGUACCUCAUUGGAACAAAUCCAAAAGAGUAACAGUAACAGUCAUAGUCAGGUACAGAGUAUCUCUUCGGAACGAAUCCGGAACAGUCAUAGUAGUCGACACAUAUAAUGUCUCGUCGACACAUAUAGUGUCUCGUCGACACAUAUAAUGUCUCAUCGACACACAGUCAGAAUAUCCCUGAACAGUUCCAAUCCUAUGGCAUACCAACUAUAUACGACUAGCCCGAUACAGUUAAUAGGGUAUUCAGUGAACUUUCAAGUUUUCAAUUUCAUUUGUAUUUUAAUUUCAAUUCAAUUUAAUACAUUUUUCCAUAUCAAUGAACAUGCAAUUUAAUUUCAAUACAAUAUAUAUUUUGAUUCAUUUCAAUAAUCAUAAAACACAAUAAUGCUUACCUGAAUUGCUUACCACAACAUUCAAUCAAAAUAUAAUAAUUAACAAUUAAAUUUCACUUUUCAAUGCAUCAACCUACACAUUAAAUAAUAAAUUCAACAAUUAAAUAUUAAGUUCGGAUUAUAGAAACACAAACCGUGAUUUCUGAGCUAACCCUCGUUGACCUCGUCUUUUCCUUUCUUAACCGAGGAUUUUUCGGCACCCCGUUAGCUACGAAAUUAAUACAAUUUAUAAUCAUUAAUGCAGUAAAAUUUUCACGUUGAAUGUUUCAAUUUUUAUUCAACUUUUGUCUAAAUUCCAAUUUUGUCCCAAACCUAGACUAACUUUUAUUUUUCACAUUUAACUCAAUAUUUUCAUUUAAUUUUCACUUUAAACUAAUUUCAUCUCUCUAAUUUCAGCAUAAAACCAUAAUUUCAAAAUUCUUUCAAUUUAGUCCCUACUAUUCAAAACUUAUGAAUUACUUUACAAUUCAAUCAUUAUCUCACUUCUAACUUGAAUUUCAAUCAAUUUAAUCCCUAAUUCAUCAUUUUAUUCAACAUAAACAAUAUUUAAAAAUCUAAUAACUUUCAGUAUAUCAAUUUAAUUUCAUCAAAACCUUAUUCCAAAGCUUCUAAAACAUUAAAAUUAAGUAAAAAUGGCUAAAUUGACUUACCUAUUAAACUUCCAAACUUCAAACCUUUAAUUUUUCUUUUCUUCUUUCUUUCUUUUUUCCUUCCCCAUUUUUUUAAACAUUCUGUUUCUUUCAUUCUCUUUUCCUUUUCUUUAUUUCUUUUGUUUCAUUUACUUUUAUGUUUUAAUUAUAUUAUAAUAUAAUAUUAUUCUUAAAUAAUAAGUAAGUAUACACGUAUAUUACAAAUGUAUAUAUAUCAUUGGUACACAUAUAAAUUAUUAUUACCAUACACUUGUCUUUAUUUAAUUAUUUACUUUAAUUAAUUAAUUAUAAAAUAAUAAUAUUUACUUAAAUAAUAAGUAAAUACAUACAUGUAUUACAAAUGUAUGCACAAUAUUUAUUACACAUGUAUUUUAUUUUUAUCACACACUUGGCAUUCACUUUGGCUUAUUUACUUAUUUAGUCCCUUUAAUUUUCUUUAUUCUAUAAUUAAACUUUCACAUUAUAUUCAAUUUAAUCAUUUUUCCUAAUCACUCUUAAUUAAAUUAAACUUACUUAAUUAAACUCUAAUUAACCACUCAUUUUACUUCGUAAAUAUUUUUAAUAAAUAUUUACGAAUCCAUUUUUCAAAAACGGAGACCCAAAAAUACACUUUUCGGUAAUAGUAAAAUUUGGGUCAUUACAAGUAGGCCCAGCUCUCACGAGCCCAUCAGUCCUGGCCUUUUUAUUAGGCCUCAUCCCAGUAUUCGAAGGCUCAGAAUCCCACUUAGCCUUCCUUUUUUCACGGUUUUGGCGCUCAGAGCGCUUUACCUCCUCGGCUAUCUUGGCCUUCUCGACCAAGGCGGAGAAAUCCCGCUCCCUCUGUGGAGCUAUCAGAACUCGCAGGCUAUCACGGAGACCAUCCUCAAAUCAGACACAACGCUCAUACUCGGUUGCCACCAUGCCCCUCGCAUAACGGCUCAAUCUAAUGAACUCAGCCUCGUACUCAACCACUGAACAGUCACCCUGAGUGAGAUUUAGGAACUCACGUCGCCUAGCCUCAGUGUAGCUAGCUCCCACGUACUUAUUCUGAUAAGUGGUCUUAAACAUAUCUCAAGUUAGUCGGUCGGGCUGAGUGCCCUCCUUAACGGAUAGCCACCACUGAUACGCCUCAUCUCGCAGCAAUGACACAACCCCUUAAGCUUCUGUUCAUCAGAAAAGUCCAGAUCGUCCAUGAUAUGCUCUGUGGCCUCCAUCCAAUACUCAGCCAAACUCAGAGCAACUCCAGCGAUGCUGCUGAAUAUCACAACCCCAUUCGACCCAUGAUAACCCGAAUUAGGGCCUAAUCAAAAUAGUGGUUUUGGGGCCACAAAAUUCAAGAUAGAAAUAAUUAUUUUAUGAUUAUUUUGAGGUCUAUGAUAUUAUUGCAAGAUUGUGUGAAAAUUUCGUGAAGAAAUUCUAUGCAUAAAGUGCUUAAUUUGAAGUUAGGGACCAAAUUGAAUAAGUUGCAAAACUUGCAUUCUAGAAUUUUCUAGUAUGAAAUUGCUUUGAAAUAUUAAUUAGGAGGUCUCAAAUAGCAAUUUGACCAAUUUCUAAGUUUAUGGACAAAAAUUGGAAAUGGAUGAAAAUUUUGAAAGUUUAGUAAGGAAGGGCAUUUUGGUCAUUUGGAUAUUAAAUGAAAUAAAAUGGGAAAAAUAACACAAAAAUGAUCAUCUUCUCCAUAAGUUGCUGCCGAAUUUUGCUCUCCACCAUAUCUAGGGUUUCAACACUUUUAAGCCUUGAUUGUAAGUGAUUUCUAUGCCCGUUUUUAAUGUUCUUUACAUUUUUGAAAUCCUCGUAGCUCAGUUACUUAUUUCUACCAAUAUUUUGAGUUAGGGUUUAUAUUUAAAAUUUUACCCAUGGAUGAUAUGUAUGAAUUUCGAUGUUUUAUGGUAGAAUAUGAAGUUUGAGAUUGUGUUAAACAACUUUUGCUAAGUGAUUUUUCGUAAAAACGAGUAAAAUGACAUAAUCGGUAAAAAUACCUAAUAUUCAUAAGUACAUGUUAGAGUGUGAAUUUGAUGUUGCUAUAGAAGGGAAAAAUGACCAACAUGUCAUAAAACAUAAGAAAAUAGGAUGAGGUUUAAUUUAUGAGCCUUGGGGUAAAAGUGUAAAUAUGUGAAAGUUUAGGGGUAAAAUGGUAAUUUUUCCAAAGUUCGUACUAGGGGAUUUUUUGAUGAAUGUGUGUAUUAAAUAAAUUAAUUUGGUAUUAUAGAUCAAGAGAAAAGAGAUUCGAGUCGAGAUCGGGGGAAAAAUAAAGUUUACGAGGAAUAGGCUCGACUAUUCUCAUUUUGUAUCGAGAUAAGUUCUUAUGUAAAUAUUGUAAUAUAACCGUUAUUUUAAAUCAUUUAAUGCUAUUUAUACGAUAUUAUGAUUGUUAUCAUGCAAUUCUAUGUUUUGUGGUCAUUGUUAGACAACAUGCAAAAAUUUUAUGAAUUAUGUGAAAAAUGUGAAAAACUACCGAAGUAUCGUCAUUGGUAUUCCAAGGAGAAUGGUAAAGGAGUACGAACGAGGAAAGUCCCGUUGAACCUUAGGAAUAGAUUAGGAUAUUUGGGCAUCCGAGCUCGUUGAGUUGAGUCUGAGUUCACUUAUGGAUGCGAACGCCCGAGCUCGUUGAGUUGAGUCCGAGUUCGUGAGAUGUAACUAGGCAUCCGAGCUCGUUGAGUUGAGUCCGAGUUCACUUAUGGAUGCGAAUGCCUGAGCUCAUUGAGUUGAGUCCGAGUUCACUUAUGGCCAGGUUACAUGGUAGCUUGGCUACAUAUGUGGCACUUAUGUGCAAAUUUUCCAUGUAUCCGAGUUAUAUUCCGAUGUGUUUAACGGGUAAAAUUCUAGUGAAAUGGAAGAAUACUCAAGAUGCAAGUGACGUAUUGGUAAGUGUUGUGGAAUGGACACUUUGGAUAGGUAUGUACUUAAUCCUCAGGUUGAGACUUGAUACGACAACAAUAAUAUGGUAAGAUGAUGAAUGAUGAAUAGAAAUGUGAUAUAGGUUUUGGUGAUAUUAUGCUAAUGUUGGUUGGUAUAAUUGCUUUGUUAAGUUAUUUGUUAUUUGCAUGUGGACUUACUAAGCAUCUAUGCUUACUCCCUCCUUUUCAUUCUUUGUAGUUUUGACAAGUCAAUUUGGAGAUCGGGACGGUCGGAGGCACGCUCACACUAUCACUAGACAAUCGCGGUAUAAUGACUUGAAAUUUUGGAAAUAUGGCAUGUAUAGCAUUCCAAUCAUUUAGUGUGUAUAAUCUUACGAUAUGGCCCAUGGAUGGAAUGGAAAUUUUUGAGAAUGAUUAGCUAUUGGAAUAGCUAAUCAAGUUUAUAUAUGAUAACAUGUAUGCUUUAUGUCUUAACUAAACCAUGAAAAUCCUUGGAAAGGUAAAAUUGGCCACAAAACAGAAUCAGACAGCAGUAGUGAUGUGAAUUUGAAAAAUCACUAAAAAUAUUAUAAAUGGAAUUAAAUGAUGAAUAAGUUAUGGAAUCGAAUCUUGAUGAGUCUAUUUUCAUAUGGAAUAAACAAAACAGGUAAAUGAGUUAUAUUUUUUGAGAUAUUUAAGUUUUGGCGGAACAGGGUCAGAGCGAUCUCUGAAUCCCUUGUUCUAACUUUAAAAAUUCACCAUAAAUUGUAAAAAAAUAAUUAGGAGUUUUACCUUACAUGUAUGAAAUCCUUAUUGAAUCUAGUUUUAUGAUAAAAAAUGGCAUAGUCAUUGAAACUCUGGACAGGGAGAUAUCAGAUUCGUAAUACACAAGGGUCAGAGUAGCCGAACCCUGAAACAGGGGAGACUUUAACUAAUAAACUGUACUAAUUGGCCUGACCAAAAAUUCUAGAAACAAAUUAGAAAGUAGGUAUAUGAGUCUAGUUUCAGGAAAAAUUUACGGAAUUGAAUUUCAAGUUUUGUAACUCGAGAUAUGGAUUUUUUAGCGACUGUGAUGCAGUUAGCCAACUUGUCUGAAAAUUUUAAAAUAAAUUGUUUGAGCUGUUUAAUUAACGAAUUAUGUUCGUUAACUCCUCGUGCUCGACUCUGGUGAUGGUCUCGGGUACGGGGCAUUACACGACCUGAGUCGUUCCGUAACCGACCCACGGCCUCCAGAUCUAGUAUUAGCCCCAGCGACCCUCUCUAGAAUUCGCAGCAUUUCCUAGGACAGUGCGUCGUCCCCAACUGCUCGGUCCUGAGACUCAGCACCAGUCUCAGUAACAGGUGACACCGGUGUCUCGCUAGUGUCCAAAUUAGGGAUCACAUCAGAUGCGAAAGACUCAGCUCGAAUCCCUCUACGGCCUCUACCUCGGCUUCUAGUACUUCGUCCACGAGUACCACGUGUGUGCUCAUCGUAACUACCGAAUUAAUCUGUAUUUAGAAUUUUGAUGCACAUCAGUUUACAGUUUCAAUAAUUAUCAAUUUACAGUUUUGAUAAUUAUUAGCAGAUAUUGCCAAUUUCCAAUUUAGUCCCUAAGCCGAGACUAACUUUUAUUAUUCACAUUUAAUUCUUUAUUUUCAUGCAAAUUCCACUUUAGACUAAAUUCAACUCCCUAUUUUCACAUAAAUUCCUAAAUUUUGAAUUUUUUACAAUUUAGUCCUUAUUACACAAAAUUUACUAUUUGUUCUACAAUUUAAUCAUUUUUCAUUUCUAGCUUAAAAAUCUAUCAAUUUAAUCCCUAAUACUAAAAUUAUUCAACAUAGACAACACUUAAAAACUCAAUAAUUUCUAAAAUUUUGACAUGGGUCAGGUAAUAUUUAAUACUGGCAUUCCAAAAACAUAAAAAUUACAAGAAAAUAGGGACUAAAUUAACUAACGAAUUGAGCGUGAAACUUUGAAAACCUUAGCUUUGGUCUUUCUCCUUAUCUUUCCUUUUUCUUUCUUUUUCCCUUCUGUUUCGUUUGUUCUUUCUUUCUUUUCUAUUUCUAUUUAUUUUAUUUUAUUAUUAUAAUAUAAUAAAUAUACUUAAACAUUAAGAUUUAUUAUUAUAUAAUAUUAUAAUAAAUUUUUACUUUAAAUUUUAUAAUAAUUACACUUAUGCCGCCUCAUUUAUGAGCAAUGUCAUAAUUUCUUCUUUAGUCCUUCUAAUUUUUCUUUAAUCUAUAAUUCAAUUUUCACCCUUUAUACAAUUUAGUCCUUAUACCUAAUUACUCUUAAUUCAUGCAAAUUUUCCUACCAAAACCUAAUUAACCACACAACUAACUUUGUAAAUAUUUCUAAUAAAUAUUUACGAGUCUAAUUUACGAAAACGGAGUCUCAAAAAUACAUUUUUCGACACCCAUAACUAUCGGGUCCUUACAUGUACUUAGGAGUUUGUUUUGGUUUCCUUACAUGUCCUUACAUCUACUUAUGCGGUACGCUAAAAUGGAUGCUACAUUAAUGUCACAUGCGAUAAGUCUAUUCGAACGUGGUAUGUUGUACCAAACAGGUGAAUAUAUGUAGGCAUAAUAUAAUAAUAACAAAAUUAUGAUAUUAUAAUUAUAGCAACACAAAUAAUAAAAUAACACUAUAAUAAAAUAACAAAAAUAAUAAUAGGAAUAAUAAUACUAUUUAAUAAUGAUAAUAAUAUAUAGUAAAAUAACAGAAAAAGAUAUGAUGAUGUUAUAAUUAUAACGUGUAAUAUUAACAAUAAUAAAAUUUUAACGGAAAUUAACAAUAAUCAUCUAAUAAAAUAAAUGGUAGAAGGACUUAAAUUAAAUAAUAUAGAAAUUUAAAGAUGAAAAACAUGAAUUGCGUAACUUGAAGGGUAAAAAUGCAAAUAAUAAAAUUAAAAGUGAUCGAAAUAAAUCGUUUUUACUAACUCAUGUGUUUUUUCGAAAAUAGACUAAUUUUUAUUUAUAAAUAAAUAAAUGUUUUAAAAUCGACUUUUUUUAAACCCUGAUUUCUAUUAGGCCAUCUCGGUGGCCGAUGUAAUCUCCUAUAUUCGAGUCUAGCGUCUAGCCGGGUGAAGGAGGUUACAAAUUAAGAUAAUUAAGAAUUUAAAUUAAAUUAGAAUAUUUAAAGUUUUAAUUUAUAUAAGAUAAUUAGGAGUUUAAAUUAAAUUAAUAUAAUUAAAAUUUUAAUUUAUUUAAAAAGAGUUCUAAUAAUAUGAUAAGAAUAAAAAUAUUUAAACUGAAAUUUUAGGGAUUAUAAGUUAGACCCUAAUUCACUUAAGAAUAUGGUACAUAUUAUAUUACAAUAUUAUAACAAUUAUUUGAUAUUUUAUUUUAUUUAUUUUAUUUUUGGUUGUGUAUUAUAUUAUAAUAAUUAUUUGUUAUUAUUUAUUAAAAUUUUAAAUGGAAUUUUUUAAAAUGUAAUUAAGAUUGAAUCAUCAAUAACAUACUAAGAUAGCGAACACUGAACUAAAACUUGUAAUUAUAUUGUCAUAUAUUUAUACAUGGCUUAACUUAUAAAAAAUUUAAACAAGACGAUACAAUUUAUAAUUAACAAUAGAAGAGUAUAAUAAUCAAGCUAUGUUAAAUUAACAAUACAUGCAAUAUCAUUAAAGUAAAAUACACAACAUAAACUUCAUUAAAACAUAAAUCAAGCCAAGUGAUGUUAACAUUACAUACAACAUUCAAAAUUAAUUUCACUAGAACAAACGAUAUAACAUAAACUAUAACCAUUCAGAAUCUCUAUGCAUGCAAAGAGAUUCAGCAUUGCUACAUGGAUGAAUGCACACACACAUUUCCCACUCACCAUCUUUUUUAUUAACAAUAUAAUUACGAUAUCCCAUGAAAUUACUGCAUGAUGAUGGCACAUGCACCAGUGUCAUAUGGCUUAAGGCUUAGUGCUCGAGCCAGACUGAAUAAACAUGGACUUCGGCCAUUCAGGCAUUUUAACCCACUCAGGGUACUAUGCCUUUCUCAGGUUUCUUCUCCUCUUCUUUUUCAUGCUUUGGGAACUCAUGUUUAUGUUCCUUAUCCUCAUCUAGUUUUUCCUUGCACUCAGGUAUUUUUGGAUAUUCGGCUUUAUGUUUCUCGUGCCCUUUAGGCUUUUCCCAUUUGGGGAAAUCGGGUUUUUCUUUCUCGUACUCUUCGUGCUCUUUCGAUUCGUGUGACUCCUGGCACUCUUCAUCUUUAUGUUUCUUACUCUUAUCUUCCUUUUCCUUGUACUCGGGUAUUUCCGAAUAUUCGACUUCGUGUUUCUCGUGCUCUUUAGGCUUUUCCCGUUUGGGGAACUCGGGUUUUUCUUUCUCGUAUUCUUCGUGCUCCUUCGAUUCACGUGAUUCGUGGUACUCUUCAUUUUUAUGUUCCUUAUCCUCAUCUUGUUUGUCCUUGUACUCGGGUAUUUUCGGAUAUUCGACUUCGUGUUUCUCGUGCUCUUUAGGCUUUUCCCAUUUGGGGAAAUCGGGUUUUUCUUUAUCGUACUCUUCGUGCUCCUUCGAUUCGCGUGACUCGUGGUACUCUUCAUGAUGUUUGCAGGGUUUUUGUUUUUCCUCCUUGUACAUUUCAGGCUUCUCAUGUUUUAGGUACUCUUCAUGAUAUUUUGGCUGUUUGUAUUCAGACUCUUCGUGCUUUUCGUAUUUUGAAGCCAAUUGUGGCAGCUUUGAUGAGGUUGUUUGUGUCUGGAAUAAAUGUCGAGCCGCUGACGAGACGGUGUGGCUACCGAUCAUUAGUGAGACAGUAAUGAGUAAAAGUUGGAAAAGGAAGAAAGGAUGACGAAAGUUAUGAGCCAUGGUUAACCAAAUAGAAAGAAAAGAAUUUUAAGUGUAUUUUUGUGUGGAUUGUUGUCUAUGUGUAGCAAGCCUUUUAUAGGAGAGGAUGAGAGAUGGUUUGGUGGGAUUUGGCUCCACGUUGUUUGUACCAAUUUCUCAUCUACAUAAUUGACUUAUGGUGGGAUUAUGUUAAGA